AGAGUUUGAUCCUGGCUCAGGAUGAACGCUGGCGGCGUGCCUAAUACAUGCAAGUCGAGCGAACGGACGAGAAGCUUGCUUCUCUGAUGUUAGCGGCGGACGGGUGAGUAACACGUGGAUAACCUACCUAUAAGACUGGGAUAACUUCGGGAAACCGGAGCUAAUACCGGAUAAUAUUUUGAACCGCAUGGUUCAAAAGUGAAAGACGGUCUUGCUGUCACUUAUAGAUGGAUCCGCGCUGCAUUAGCUAGUUGGUAAGGUAACGGCUUACCAAGGCAACGAUGCAUAGCCGACCUGAGAGGGUGAUCGGCCACACUGGAACUGAGACACGGUCCAGACUCCUACGGGAGGCAGCAGUAGGGAAUCUUCCGCAAUGGGCGAAAGCCUGACGGAGCAACGCCGCGUGAGUGAUGAAGGUCUUCGGAUCGUAAAACUCUGUUAUUAGGGAAGAACAUAUGUGUAAGUAACUGUGCACAUCUUGACGGUACCUAAUCAGAAAGCCACGGCUAACUACGUGCCAGCAGCCGCGGUAAUACGUAGGUGGCAAGCGUUAUCCGGAAUUAUUGGGCGUAAAGCGCGCGUAGGCGGUUUUUUAAGUCUGAUGUGAAAGCCCACGGCUCAACCGUGGAGGGUCAUUGGAAACUGGAAAACUUGAGUGCAGAAGAGGAAAGUGGAAUUCCAUGUGUAGCGGUGAAAUGCGCAGAGAUAUGGAGGAACACCAGUGGCGAAGGCGACUUUCUGGUCUGUAACUGACGCUGAUGUGCGAAAGCGUGGGGAUCAAACAGGAUUAGAUACCCUGGUAGUCCACGCCGUAAACGAUGAGUGCUAAGUGUUAGGGGGUUUCCGCCCCUUAGUGCUGCAGCUAACGCAUUAAGCACUCCGCCUGGGGAGUACGACCGCAAGGUUGAAACUCAAAGGAAUUGACGGGGACCCGCACAAGCGGUGGAGCAUGUGGUUUAAUUCGAAGCAACGCGAAGAACCUUACCAAAUCUUGACAUCCUUUGACAACUCUAGAGAUAGAGCCUUCCCCUUCGGGGGACAAAGUGACAGGUGGUGCAUGGUUGUCGUCAGCUCGUGUCGUGAGAUGUUGGGUUAAGUCCCGCAACGAGCGCAACCCUUAAGCUUAGUUGCCAUCAUUAAGUUGGGCACUCUAAGUUGACUGCCGGUGACAAACCGGAGGAAGGUGGGGAUGACAUCAAAUCAUCAUGCCCCUUAUGAUUUGGGCUACACACGUGCUACAAUGGACAAUACAAAGGGCAGCGAAACCGCGAGGUCAAGCAAAUCCCAUAAAGUUGUUCUCAGUUCGGAUUGUAGUCUGCAACUCGACUACAUGAAGCUGGAAUCGCUAGUAAUCGUAGAUCAGCAUGCUACGGUGAAUACGUUCCCGGGUCUUGUACACACCGCCCGUCACACCACGAGAGUUUGUAACACCCGAAGCCGGUGGAGUAACCUUUUAGGAGCCAGCCGUCGAAGGUGGGACAAAUGAUUGGGGUGAAGUCGUAACAAGGUAGCCGUAUCGGAAGGUGCGGCUGGAUCACCUCCUU
RNAcentral lists this ribosomal RNA (1544 nucleotides) under Staphylococcus aureus. RNAcentral's name for it is "16S ribosomal RNA". It matches the Rfam family "Bacterial small subunit ribosomal RNA". The record is from RNAcentral. Lineage: Bacteria; Bacillati; Bacillota; Bacilli; Caryophanales; Staphylococcaceae.